GAUUAAGCCAUGCAAGUGUUAGUACAUGCUUUCAAUACAGUGAAACUGCGAAUGGCUCAUUAAAUCAUAUGUGAUUUCUUAGAUCGUAACCCUGGACCUUCACGGGCGCCAGGGGAUGGAUAACUGUGGUAAUUCUAGAGCUAAUACAUGCAAUCAAGCCCUGACUCAUUCACGUGGGGACGGGCGCUCUUAUUAGACCAAGACCAACCUCUCUGUAGGGGGUCAAACCUCUGCGGGGAGUUCGUUGUGGUGACUCUGGAUAAGCUCAGUUGAUCGCACGGCCACGCGUCGGCGACGUAUCUUUCAAGCGUAUGACCUAUCACUUAGUCGGUAGGGUAUGUGCCUACCGAGAGUGUAACGGGUAGCGGGGAAUCAGGGUUCGAUUCCGGAGAGGGGGCCUGAGAAAUGGCCACCACAUCCAAGGAAGGCAGCAGGCGCGUAAAUUACCCACUCCCGACACGGGGAGGUAGUGACGAAAAAUAACAAUACGGGACUCUUUCGAGGCCCCGUAAUUGGAAUGAGCACAAAUUAAAUCCUUUAGCGAGGAUCUAUUGGAGGGCAAGUCUGGUGCCAGCAGCCGCGGUAAUUCCAGCUCCAAUAGCGUAUAUUAAAGUUGCUGCAGUUAAAAAGCUCGUAGUUGGAUCUCGGGUUAACGAUCGUUCGGUCCUGUCUCGCACAGGUUUACUGUUCGACUCGUCCCAACGGGUGGUAGACGUACGUUUCGGUUGUGGUUAGUAGCCCCCGGCGUGCGUCGUCGCCUUGAUCCCAGGUGCUGCUCGAGAGGGUAGUGCUGGUGCCCUUAACUGGGUGCCCAGGGCGGUCACUCCGUUUACCUUGAAAAAAUUAGAGUGUUCAAGGCAGGUUUCGCAGGCUCGAAUAUUUGGUGCAUGGAAUAAUGGAACAUGACUGCGGUCACCGUUCUGUUGGUCUCAGGUGUUGUGGUAAUGAUUAAGAGGGACUGCCGGGGGCAUUAGUAUGGCGGCGCGAGAGGUGAAAUUCUUGGACCGUCGCCAGACUAACAAGARCGAAAGUCAGAGGCUCGAAGACGAUCAGAUACCGUCGUAGUUCUGACCAUAAACGAUGCCAGCUAUAGACCGGAGGGAGUUGUUUGCUAUGACCCUUCCAGUCUGCCCCGGAAAACCUAUAAGCUUGUGGGUUCCGGGGGAAGUAUGGUUGCAAAGCUGAAACUUAAAGGAAUUGACGGAAGGGCACCACCAGGAGUGGAGCCUGCGGCUUAAUUUGACUCAACACGGGAAAACUCACCCGGCCCGGACACCGCUAGGAUUGACAGAUUGAAGGCUCUUUCUCGAUUCGGUGGAUGGUGGUGCAUGGCCGUUCUUAGUUGGUGGAGUGAUUUGUCUGGUUAAUUCCGAUAACGAACGAGACUCUGACCUAUUAAAUAGUUGGCCGGUCGGCCUCGUUGCUGGCUCGGCUUUAAACUUCUUAGAGGGACUGUUGGCGUUUAGCCAGACGAGAUUGAGCAAUAACAGGUCUGUGAUGCCCUUAGAUGUUCGGGGCCGCACGCGCGCUACACUGAGGAAGUCAGCGUGUAUUGCUCUCCUGGCCUGGAAAGGUUGGGCAAUCCGUUGAGCCUUCUUCGUGCUAGGGAUCGGGGCUUGCAAUUAUUCCCCGUGAACGAGGAAUUCCUAGUAUGCUCGAGUCAUCAGCUCGAGUAGAUUACGUCCCUGCCCUUUGUACACACCGCCCGUCGCUACUACCGAUUGGAUGGCUUAGUGAGGCCCUUGGAGAGGCGUUGCCUACUUACCUGCCCUCGUGGUGUGGUUGUGGGCGACUGCUUUCGAAGAAGGUCGAACUUGACUGUCUAGAGGAAGUAAAAGUCGUAACAAGGUUUCC
This 1854-nucleotide ribosomal RNA is filed under the name Semivermilia elliptica. Its description in RNAcentral is "SSU rRNA". It matches the Rfam family "Eukaryotic small subunit ribosomal RNA". Lineage: Eukaryota; Metazoa; Annelida; Polychaeta; Sabellida; Serpulidae. The record is from RNAcentral.